GGUUUCGUAUAGAGUUUCUGGGCU
This 24-nucleotide non-coding RNA is filed under the name Arabidopsis thaliana (thale cress). Lineage: Eukaryota; Viridiplantae; Streptophyta; Magnoliopsida; Brassicales; Brassicaceae. The record is from RNAcentral.